Molecule: non-coding RNA, 738 nt
Filed under: Cadlina japonica
Lineage: Eukaryota; Metazoa; Mollusca; Gastropoda; Nudibranchia; Chromodorididae
Source: RNAcentral
AAACUUUGUAUUGAUUAUAAGUUAGCUCAGGCAAGACUUUUAGCAUGGUAAUAAUAGUACUCGAGGAAACAAAUCUAGAAGAAGGCUUUCUAACCCAGCAAGAAACAUUAAACUAUAUUAGAAAUAAUAAUUUAAUUUAGCCUAAAUAAGUUGGACUAAUAUAGGUGCCAGCAGUCGCGGUCAUACCUAACAGCUUAGUUAACUUCACUAGGCUAGCUUAAGAAAAGAAUUCUUAUAAGUAGGUGAAAUUAUUAUAAGAAUAAAUUUUUAUUUUCUAAUUUUUAGCUUAAGCUCUGAAGAUAAACUAGGAUUAGAUACCCUACUAUAUAGAGUAUAAAUUAUCAAGCCUAAGCACUAAGACUUUAAAGUUAAAACUUAAACUACAUGGCGGCAGUUGGAAAUUUCAGGGGAACUUGCCAAGUAAAUGAUAAUCCCCAAAAAAUUCUACUUUUAUUUGAAGUUUGUAUAUCGCCGUCUUCAGCAUUCAUUUAUGAUGAAUCCAAAAUGUUAAGAACAAAAAGACAGGUAAAGAUGCAGCCUAUAUAAAAGUUUUAGGUGAGUUACAGUAUUAAGUUAAUUUGGAAUCGUUUUGAAAUAAAACGAAGAAACUGGACUUGAAAGUAAUAUAUAUAAAAAAUACUAACUGAAUUUUCAAUCCAACUGUGUACAAAUCGCCCGUCGCUUUCAUUGAAAAAUGAAAUAAGUCGUAACACAGUAGGUGUACCGGAAGGUGUACCU